Molecule: ribosomal RNA, 701 nt
Filed under: uncultured Paracoccus sp.
Lineage: Bacteria; Pseudomonadati; Pseudomonadota; Alphaproteobacteria; Rhodobacterales; Paracoccaceae
Description: bacterial SSU rRNA
Rfam family: Bacterial small subunit ribosomal RNA
Source: RNAcentral
AACGAACGCUGGCGGCAGGCCUAACACAUGCAAGUCGAGCGAGAUCUUCGGGUCUAGCGGCGAACGGGUGAGUAACGCGUGGGAAUAUGCCUCUUGGUACGGAAUAGCCUCGGGAAACUGGGAGUAAUACCGUAUGUGCCCUUUGGGGAAAGAUUUAUCGCCAAGAGAUUAGCCCGCGUUGGAUUAGGUAGUUGGUGGGGUAAUGGCCUACCAAGCCGACGAUCCAUAGCUGGUUUGAGGGGAUGAUCAGCCACACUGGGACUGAGACACGGCCCAGACUCCUACGGGAGGCAGCAGUGGGGAAUCUUAGACAAUGGGGGCAACCCUGAUCUAGCCAUGCCGCGUGAGUGAUGAAGGCCUUAGGGUUGUAAAGCUCUUUCAGCUGGGAAGAUAAUGACGGUACCAGCAGAAGAAGCCCCGGCUAACUCCGUGCCAGCAGCCGCGGUAAUACGGAGGGGGCUAGCGUUGUUCGAAAUUACUGGGCGUAAAGCGCACGUAGGCGGACCAGAAAGUUGGGGGUGAAAUCCCGGGGCUCAACCCCGGAACUGCCUUCAAAACUAUUGGUCUGGAGUUCGAGAGAGGUGAGUGGAAUUCCGAGUGUAGAGGUGAAAUUCGUAGAUAUUCGGAGGAACACCAGUGGCGAAGGCGGCUCACUGGCUCGAUACUGACGCUGAGGUGCGAAAGCGUGGGGAGCAAACAGG